RNAcentral lists this long non-coding RNA (1320 nucleotides) under Spirodela polyrhiza (greater duckweed). RNAcentral's name for it is "long non-coding RNA (SPOL_LNC001429)". Lineage: Eukaryota; Viridiplantae; Streptophyta; Magnoliopsida; Alismatales; Araceae. The record is from RNAcentral.
GACGUCACUCUCCUCGUACUUCGCUCCCCCACUUUUGGUCAUAAAGUCAAACUGCGGUUCUCGUUGCCUCCCAAAGUUGAAAGUAAAAAAAAAGGCGGGAGAAUAAACUUGCUGCCCGGCGUACGGCUCCGUCCGCCUCCCCUCCAUGUCGCCACGUACAGACUACACUGGUCGGAAGGCAUGCCCUCCGUCUUGCCUUUCUUCUCAAAAGAGGAUUUCGGGGGGCUCUUUCGUGUUGCUCCCCACGGGAACGGUACAAAUUUAUCGGGGGGUAAAUGCCACGUCAUGCUUAUCCACGUAGACGAGUCAGUCACCAGUGAGCACGCUUUUCUUUUGUCGUGUUUCGUUUACAGCGUGGCGAGGAGCAUCCUCUUGGUCGGGCCCGUCGCAUGUGGUGUCGCGAGGGACGCCCAUAGUGACGGUGCUUCGCUCGUCGGCAGCAGCGGCGGAAGUGAUGCCGCCGCCAUCUCCUCCGCCGGGGGUGGCGGCCGCGCAACCGGCUCGCUUUAAUGCGCGCACGCCGGGGGACCGGCGCUUCCCCGCCCGGCGGCGGGGCGCACGAGCGCCGCCCCACCGCCCACGGCCCUAUUUAAGAGCGGCGACCGCUGCUUUGCCGGCGAGCGGCUUCCGCAGUAACUAUUCUUACCCGGCCGGUCACAGGCGUCGCGUGGAGGCUCUCCUCUUUAAUCUCCAGCGUAAGCGACGGCGACCGGGGACCUACCCACCAUGCUAACUUCACUUGGCUGCCGCCGAGGGGCGGCUGAGAGGGACCGGUGGCGGUGCCUUGCCGGCCCGGUGAAGGAGGGAUCUUUCCCGGUGGGGGCUCGCCGGACUUGGUUUUGGCUCAUUCACGACGGAAAGUAAGCGGCGGCUUCCCCAUCCGACUGAAGCUUCCCACCGGCCCAGGCCGUCGUCAUCCUGGUAGCGUCAAAGAGCAGCCUUGCCAUCUGUCGCCACUCGUUAGCAGCCGUAAAGCUGGGUGGAUCAAAGAGUGAGAGACAGAGAUCAUCUCCCGCGCCCAAAUACGUUAUCUAGAGGAAGCUGACGACCGGAUCUUGGUUGUCGAGCUCGAGCUAGCGCUCGUCCGGCUACCUCGCCGCCGCCGGGCGUCGGCUCCCCCCAACUCUGAGCGGUGAGGACGCCGCCGUGGUAUAUCCAGCUGAGCAGGCCAGGCUUACACAGUGGAGCUAGAUGGGUCUCUGGCUCGUCAACCGGAGCCCACCGACUUUGCGAGCCAUAUUUAGAGGAAUCAUUGUUGACGGCGACUACGCAGAACGAGAUGGACGCAAGGCCAACCGACGGAUCUCCCCUUCUUCCGCA